AGUGGAAGCCGGAGUGACGCGUUGUGUUGAACACCAGUUUUCUGGAGCGCUGUGUGUUCUUAACAGCUGAGCAGUCUGUUUCUCCAAUCAGGUUUCAAAGCCACUUCAACUGCACUGGCCCCUGUGGGUCACUGCUGCACCGCCCUGACCCAUGUGGGUCCCUGAGGAGCGACCUGCCGGGGCCACCUGGCUGGACGAAAAAGACACACCUUGGACUUAAGCCGUGAGAAAAAAACUUCAUCAGUAAGAAGAAUGAAUAAACAGACUAGGUUGAAUCCAUACAAUGGAAUGUUAGCAGACAAUAAAAAGAAAAUGAACUAUUGAUGUCCCCUACUGCACAGCAGAAGCUCUGAAUCGUGUUCCUGAAUGAAAGAAGUCAGGCAGGUUCUUCAGGAGGGAUUCCAGAACAAGGCACUCUCAUCACAGGAGAUGACAGCUCCAUGUGCAUGACGGCCCCAGAAGACCAUCUGGUAGGACAAGAUGUGGAGGUGGAACGCAGUGAUAUUGAUAAUCCUGACCCUGGAGAUGAAAAGAUGGGCCAGGAGUCCAGUUUCUGGAAGGCCAAGAAUCGAAGUAGCAAGCUGCAGCCGUUUUCCAGACAAGCAGGAUGUGGGGAUGCAGAAGAAUUCAGGACUGGAGGGGCAAACUCCGUAAGCAGGGGCUGUCACGAUUCCCAUCUCCCUCUAUAAACCUCUCUCUUUUCAUGUCAUACUGUUCCAUGUUAUAUGUAACUGUUUUAAAGCUACAUACUGGACAAAAAGUGGAAUAGACUCCAGCCUCUGAAUUGUUAAAUAAGCUGAUGACAAACCUUCACAUUUUCUCCAUCAGGAUGUGACUGAGGCCCCACUGCCAAAUGGCAGCAUGCUCAGAUAGCACCCAGGAAUUUGGGGAAAAAAACUGGUGCUCACAGCUGCCCAGUUAAGGCACAAGUCUCCCGCCUGCUGCAGGUAUGUGGGUGGGACAAGUGGGUCAGUCCACAGAACAAAAGGUAUGUAAAGGAGGCCUUCUUUUUGGGAAAUCCUUUGUAGAUCCACCACCCACACCUUAGUCACAAGCCCAGAAGGGGCUGAAAAUGACAUUUCCAAGGGGCACAGGCUGCCAGCCAUCACAAAGCACACUAUCUGGUGGGGGAGAUAUGGCUAUCGCAGAGUUUUCACCCACGAGCUGGAGUUCUUUGUUCUGAAUGCAUGCCCUGCUUUCAGUAUGGUUUCCUUGGCAGUCAAAAAGAUGCUAAUCAAAUGCCCCAUUGAUAGCUUUAUGAAUGAAAGGAUGUGUAUUUUAAGAGAGCUUUUUGCCGGCACCCAAUUACACUGAUAAACUUUUCGCAGUCUGACAGGAAUUAGUUUCAAAUAAGUGGUGACAUUUAAACAACAACAAACCUCAAGGCCAUGAUUAAGCAGCCACACUCUCAAGCACCCUCCUGCUCCACCGAUCAUUGUCAAGUCCCCUUGCAGAUGCCUGUUUGGCUGCCCAGGCCGGGAGUGCUGGCUACUGCCGGCUAAGCAGACAUCUUGCUCUGCUCCUCGGACCCUUUCCCAAUAUCUCCUCUGGACCUGGGAGCCCCAUUCCGGUCUGUCUGUAUUUGCAGGGGUUGUGAGGUGUAUCAGAACCUUGAAGAGAUACUCUGGGAAGAAAGGCCUUCCCAGACUGCCUCUCCGCAGCGCUGUAAGAAUCAGAUUUCUUCUAUGGGGGACUUCCAGGUCUCUUCAGCAUUUUCUCAGUCAUCACUGUAUCCCUGCCACUCAGUGAACCACAGCAACAACUCCCAGCUUCCAGCCGAGAAGCUUGACCCUGAAGCUGGCCUCGAUUCUCUACAGAAGUGAGGCCACAGAGCACAGGUGAAGGGCCACUUACCUGGUAUCAUCUCUGGUCUCAGCUCUGGAGAACUAGCUCCUCUGCCACUGCCACAUCCUGUCCACCAAGACCUCCUUGCUGAACCCCACCCCCACCCGGUGCCUCAGGACCCUAACUUGUUUGCUGACCUCCAUGUCCUCUCACCAGAUCCAGCCCUGGGGAGCUGAACUUCCUCUGGCCCACUGCCAGCUCUGGAUCAGUCCACACCCCAGCCAGCCACAGCCCAGCCCUGCCUCUCUCUGUCUCUCUCUCAUGGCUGGGUUGGCCUUGGCCAAUGCUCUCUCUAGAGAUCAAGACACAGGCACCUCUCUUGGUCUGUUCUGGCUGCUGUGACAAAAUGCCUUAAGCUGGGUGGCUUAUAAACCACAGAAAUUUAUUUCUCACUGUUCUGGAGGCUGGGAAGUCCUACAGACUGGGGUACUGGCCUGCUUGUUUCCUCGUGAGGGCUCUCUUCCUGGGUUGCAGAUGGACAUCUCCCUGAUGUAUCUUCACAUGGCAGAGAGAGAGAGAGAGAGAGACAGAAAGACAGAGAAAGAGAGAGAGAGAGAGAGAGAGCAUGCUCUUUGGUCUCUUCUGGUAAGGGCCUAAUCCCGUCAUGAAGAAUCCCCAUAACUUCAACUAAAUCUAAUCACUUCUCAAAGGCUCCAUCUCCACAUACCAUCCCAUUGUGGGUUAGGGUUUCAACAUAGGAAUUCUGGAGGCACACAAACGUGCAGUUCAAAACAUGUGGAGACAAGGGGGCAAGGACUAGAGAGCCCUACCAUCCUCGUUCAAACCCUUGAAUCAAGCCUGAAGUCAAAGAACUUCCUUUGGAGAGCCCCAUUCCAUGAGCCGAUAAUUUCCCCAUUUUGCCAUCACCCACUUGAGUUUGGGAUUUUCCCCCAGUUACUGAGUGCCUGACUGACAUGAUGCCCCCCACAGAUGGGCCUCCCUGCCCCCAAUCUCACCUCCUCUGUUAGUUUCCUGGGGUUGCCACAACAAAGCGUUACAGGCAGAGCGGCUAAAACGACAGAAACUUAUGGUCUCACAGUUCUGGAGGCUGCAAGUUCAAGGUCAAGGUGUCAGCAGGGUUGGUUCCUUCGGAAGGCUGUGCAGGAGCCUGUUGGGUGCCUGUCCCUCAGCUUCUAGUGGAUUACUUCCAUCUUCAGCAUGCCUUGGCUUGUAGAAGGACUACCCUGAACUCUGCCUUCAUGGUCACAACACAUCCUCCCUGUGUGUGUUUCUGUGUCCAAAUUUCCCCUUCUUAUAAGGACACCAGUCUUAUACGGACAAUGCUCAAUGUAUGAACCUUUGCCAAGGGAUUGGAUUAGGGACCCACUAUAUUCCAGUAUGACCUCAUCUUAACUAAUUAUACCUGCAAUGACACUGCUUCCAAAGAAGGCCACAUGAUGAGGUACCGUUGGUUAGGAAUUCAAUAUAUGAGUUUGGGGGGACACAGUUCAGCCCACACCACCUCCUCUGACCCUGAAUUGGAUGCUGUUUCUGCUCUGCUUAUGAUCCUCUUGUCCUCACUGGCCUCUUGGUCCAGCACCCACUGAGGCACCAGCUCUGAGAGAGCUCACUGGCUUCACACAGGUGCGACCUGAUGGCGCCUCACCUCAUACCCCAAACAUCCUUCUCAUCUCUGCAGGACCUGCUCUGUUUAUGUCCAGGUAUGUUCAGUGUUCCUGUGUGUCCCCAGAGUGUGGGGAGGUAAUGCUCCAUGUACGAACCUUUGCCAAGGGAAUAUGGAAACCGAUGGAUGAGUUCUUACCUCUUUUUUCGUCCAGACAAACUGUCCUAAGAUGGUUUUAAGAGAUACCGAGUAAUCAGCUGCCAGCUCAGUAGCGCAUCUUCAGAUUGACUCUCCCUCCUUCCCUGUCUCCUUCCCCAUAUUCUUCAUCUUGUUCCCUGGGAUCUUUCUCCCUAAUAAAGGAAAAGCUCAUAGACCUCUGCCCCAGCUUCUGCUUUCUGGGGAAUGCAGGCCAAUCCAGCCACACUACUCUCCCUCCAUGUAACCUGACCAUGCCAUCCCCCUGCUUAAAAGCUUUCAGUGCUUCUCCAUUGCCCAUAAAGCUCAUACUUUCUAGCUAUGAGCUUCAAGGCCACUUGGAGGUCAUCUGGCCAACUGUCCUUCCUGCUACAACAGUCUAAGUCAUAGGCUUUGGAAGAUAACUGAUUGGGUUUCAUCUUUGGCUCUUAUUGAAAAUGUGGAAAAAAUUAUUUCACCUCUAUAAGCUUCAGUUUCUUCAUCUAUCUGAUCUCAGGAUUGAGGGAAGGCAAUGUAUAUAAAGCAUCUGGCACAGUGGUUGGGGCACUAAAUACAUGGCAGCCAGUGUUUAUUAUUACAAACCAGGAAACCAGGAUGCAAAGGGAGCUGCUUCAGCUCCCUUUCAGUCAGCAGACAACGGCUGUCAAACUUGGGACCAAACAGCUACAAAACCAGAUGCCCGCUCUCCACAAAUAAGAGGCUGAAGUGCAGCUCUCCACUGAUGAACUAUAACAGUUGGAAAUUCACUUGUACUAUGGAUAUUUCUUCUGCACCUCUCGUGAACAGCCUGUUCUUGCUGAGGGCUGGACAGUAAAUAAAACAUCUACAGUGCCUACUUCCAUGGGGUUCAUGUUCUAAUGAGGGAGUGGAGACCCUCAACAAAGAACCAGCCAAUGUGCUAAGUCCUGUGGCAGAAACUGGGCAGAAAAGGGAAGAGAGAGGGAGGAUGGUUAUAUUUUUACAGGAUGGUUAAAAAAUUAGUCUUCUGUUUUUUGAGACAGGCUUUCACUCUGUUGCCCAGGCUGGUGUGCAACGGUGUGAUCAUGGCUCACUGCAGCCUUGACCUUCUGUGCUUAGUCAAUCCUCCCACCUCAGCCUCCCAAGUAGCUCAGAAUACAGGCUUGUGCCACCAUGCCCAGCUGAUUUUUGUAAUUUUUGUAGAGAGAGAUGGGGUUUCACUAUGUUGUCUAGACUGGUCUCAAAUUCCUGGGCUCAAGUGAUCUGCCUGCUUUGGCCUCCCGAAGUGCUGGGAUUACAGGCACAAACCACCAUGCCCAGCCAGGAAAUUAAUCUUCUAAUAAAGGUUCACUUAAGGUGAAGGGAGCAAGGGAGAAAGUUGAUAUCAAGGGGUGGCAUUCCAAGCAGCAAGAGUAGGAAGUAGAAAGGCCUGAGGCGGGAAAGGUCUUAGCCUGUUCAAAAGAUAGCAGAGAAGCAAGCACUGCUGAAGAGGAGUGGGUGAGGGGAAGGGUAGUGGGAAGUGAGGCCAGAGAGGGGUGGAUGAUCUGCAGACACAGGUGGAGACUGUGACUGUGAAAUUUGCCCUGAAUAUGAUGGAAAGCCACUGGAGGGUUGAACAAAGUUGUAGAGGCACCUGACUAGUUUCAGUGGAUCACUCUGGCUGAAUGAGGCCAGAAAGGAGGCCUCUGCCAUGAUCUCAGUAGGGAGGACAGUGGCUUGAACCUGAAGGCAGAGCCUGGAGGCAGUGAGAAGUGGUCAUUCUGAGAACAUUUUGAAGGCACAGCUUACAGAACUCACCGAUAGAUUGGAUGAGGGUUGUGAAUAGGAGGUGAUCCCAAAGACUGUGGCCCAAGCAAAUGAAAAGCAGGACUUGCCCUUUUCUGAAAAGGAGGACACUGAGGAAGGAGGUAGCAGGGACAAAUCUGGAGUUUGCUUUUAAAUGUGCCAAGCUUGAGAUGCUGACUGGUGUCUAGGAAACACAAAGCAUGCCUGGACACCCAAAUCUGGAGGUCAGGGAGAAGUUCAGACUGGAGAUACACUGGGGAACAUUAGAGUAUUUGUGGCAUUUAGCACCAGAAAACUGGGUGAGCUCACCAGGGGAAUGAGAGGACCUCCAGGGCUCCUUGGGGAUGCUCCAGUGUCCCAAAAUCAGGGCAACAAGAGUCCAAGAAAAGAGAUGGGGAAGAAGAGCCCAAUGAGGCAGGGAGAACCAUGACCAUUAUGCCCUGAAAAAGCCACAUGCAGGAGUCUCAAGGAGAAGGGAGUGACCAACUGCCCAAUACAGCUGACGACCAUAUCAGACAAGACUGAGAACUGGCCACAGGAUUUGGCAACAUGGCAAGAGCUAUAUGAAUGGACUGGUGAGCACAUAAGAGGAGAGGAAGUGGAAGCUUCAGGAUUAGACAGGGGGCCAGGCACAGUAUCCCAUGCCAAUCCCAGCACUUUGGGAGGCCGAGACAGAAGGAUCACUUGAGGCCAGGAGUUCAAGACCAGCCUGGGCAACAGAGAGAGACCUCAUCUCUACAAAAAAGGAAAAAAAAAAGGAAAAUCAGCCUGGACAACAUAGGGAGACCCAGUCUCUAUCAAAAAAAGAAAAAAAAAGAUUUAAUUUUUUAAUUAGCUGGACAUGGUGGUAUGCACCUGUGGUGCUAGCUAUUCAAGAGGCUGAGGUGAGAUGAUCACUUGAGCCCAGGAGUUCGAGUUGCAGUGAGCUAUGUUCAUGCCACUGCAUUCCAGCCUGGGUGACAGAGCAAGACCCUGUCUCUAAAAGAACAAAAAAAAAAAAGAGAGAGAGAGAAAGAGGCUAGACAAGUCUCUGGAGGAGUUUUGUGCAAAAAGGAGCAGAGAACACUGAUGGUGUGAGAGUGAUGUUCUUCAGGAGAUGACAGUGAAUGGGAUCUGGGGACAAUGGAGGUCUUUGGGGCUGUUAGCUUGUUUGUUCUUCUCUGGCCAUUCCAGCACUCAGGGUCACCUUCCCCUCCAGGCCCCUCCACUCCAGUGACUCCUUUGGUGACUUAUCCACUCAUGCAUUCUGAGUCUUUCCUGUAUCACCUCCUGACCCCUCCAGUGGCUCAGUCACUAUCUAGCUGUGUGACCUUGGAUGAGUCACUUAACCUCACAAGAAGCAGCAAUCAGUGAGUCCGGUGACUUCAGUUUCUUCCAGUAUCAGGGUGGACAGAGAGUCACAGUGGUAGGACCUGGGGGUGUUUCUCUAAGGUAUGUGGAAAUUUAGGCUCCCCUUUGAUCUCAGAUUCAUGGAGAACCCAGAACUGGUUAUUAGAAAACUCUUGCGGAGUGAAUAGGUAAGCUUCUUUCAUAUUAAUUCUUCACUUGGCAAAUGCUUAAGUGCCUGCUCUAUCCAAGGGUGUGUCAGAGGUUUUGCAAGGGUGGAGGAUGAGCCUCUUGGAUUUUACCCUCAAAGAGCUCAUAACCUUGUGGGGUGGUGGGUGUGUCUAUUCAAAACCAUAACAGGGCAGACUCUCUGGCACAUCAUUUUGUGUUCAUCUUUAGGACCAGUUGUCACAGUUGCACACACAAAUUAAAGUUCCACAGGAGGUGGGAUGUUUUCGGUCUUGUACUCUAUGUGCCUGACACAUCGUAAGCAGUCAGUACAUGUUUGUUGAAUGAAAGCAGUAUUGAAUGGUACCAUUUAAUUUGUGUUUUGAAGCAAGGGUGGGAUUUGGACCUACACAGAUGGGCGAGGGGGCGCAUUGCAGACUGGCGGGGGUUGGGGUGGCUGGAGGCAGGAGGAGGGAAUGGCGGGAGCAGAUGUACAGAGACAGUGACACCCAAGGCAUGGUUGGUAAUUGCAGGCCGACUGUGACUGGAUCGUGUGAUAUGUCAGGAUGCAAAGAGACUGAAAAAGUAAGUUGGGGCCAGAUGGUGGAGAGGGUUGAAUUCAAGCUAUGUUAAAGGGAUCAGAUUUAUCUAUAGUAGGAUGAUCUCAUGUUCCCAUUUCCCAGGGUAGUUUUGCCUGUUGUCCCAGGGUGAUUAUUCAUGGUGGCCCCUUUCAUGCUCAAGUAUCCCUGUUUGGAUAAGUUAUGUGGUCCUGCAACCCUAAAGGCUUUGUGGAACCCCCAAAGGUUUCACAGAGGGACAGGGUCAGGCUAGCCUUGAAUGGUCAGUGCCCACAGUGUUUGCUGGACCUGGAGGCAGGAGCUGGGACACCCUCCAGUCUGGGCGAUACAGGUCAAAGUCUUUUGGUUAAUGGUAAAUCACCAACAGUGGCCAGGGUACGGUGAAAUGGGCACUCUUCAGGGAGUGCCCUGAAAUUGUUCCAGACCUUUUUUGGAAAUCAACUUUGCAGCACACGUCAAGAGCCUUGAAAACUGUCCAUGCCCUUUGUUAAUUCCACUUCUGGAAAUCUCUCCUAAGGAAAUAAUUCCAAAUAUAGAAAAGGUUCUUUGCAUAGACGUUCAUCAUAAAACUCUAUGCAACAGGUCUAGAGACAGCUCAGAAUGCCACAACAGAUGAUAUUAAGGACAUAGGAUAUAUCUAUCAAUGGACUCUAAGUUCCAUAGAACAGGGACAAUGUCUGAUUACAACCACUGUAUCCCCACAGCUAACAUAGUGUCUGACAUAUUUAAUGAAUAAACAAGUGAAUAAAAAUUUAUAUCAGGUUAAACAAAAAAGAUAUAAAACAAUCCUUAAAUAUGAUAUAUAAGUUCCCAUGUGGACACACUAUGCUCUCAACCAUUUUUUUAAAAAACAGACAUAUGUAUAUGACUAUGCAUAUGAAAACUUUUAAAAUGACUCCCCAAAAUGUAAACAGUGAUUAUGUCUGAGUGGUGGAACUCCUGAUAAUUUCCUUUUUUCAAUUUUAUUUUUGUAUAUAUUGUAUAUCUUUCAGAAUGAAUAUGAUUACUUUUAUAAUGGAAAAAAAAAGGCCACAUCAAUACUUUAAAAAAGAAAGGCUAGCAUUAGGCAGGGUUUUAGCACUCACAGCCAGGACGUGAUAAAGUUUUGCAUCUUCCAAGGGUUCCCAGUCAGUCUUUGUGGUAUGAGUCUCCAAUUCCAGCCAUGAUCCUCCUCUGUAAGGUGGGUACCUCCCACAAUGGGUGGCAGAGGGUCCACUUGCUGGCUAGAGAUGCCCUCCCACCCCCCCCACCACCCCCAGGAGCUAGAGAUACUGAGGGGUACUGGCUUUCACUGGGACAGUUCGUACACUUGUAAGCGGCCAUCAAAAAUGAUAUCUAGGCUGGGCACGGUGGCUCAUGCCUGUAAUCCCAGCACUUUGGAAGUCAGAGCAGAGCGGAUCACCUGAGGUCAGGAGUUCGAGACCAGCCUGGCCAACAUAGUGAAACCCCAUCUCUACUAAAAAUACAAAAAAAAAAAAAAAAUAGCUGGGUGUGGUGGCAGGCACCUGUAAUCCCAGUUACACAGGAGGCUGAGGCAGGAGAAUUGCUUGAAUCCAGGAGGCAGAAGCUGCAGUGAGCCAAGAUCGUGCCAUUGCACUCCAGCCUGGGCAGCAUGAGUGAAACUCCUUCUCAAAAAAAAAAAAAAAAAAAGAUAUCCAGCAAGAUGAAAAACUGUUGAUGAUACAGUUUUAAGUGAAAUAGAGCAGAAUACAAAAAGCCAUGUUCACUAAGAACAUAUCUAUGCAAACUAUGCACAUGGCAAAUAUUUAUCAAAAGAAUGAAAAAGCCUCACAAAAAAUAUGACCACAUGCAGCCAGAGAUGAGACAGACAACCAAAACUGAAUGCACCUUUUCAGCAAUAACAAUUUUAGAGACGUUCCCAGAACUAGGAUGGGUGUCUACAGGUUCUUACCCAGUGUCUCUAGGCUCCAGGGCAACCUGUUUCUUAGAGCAGAGCUUCUCAAACUUUAAUGUGCACACAAUUAACCUGGGAUCCUGAUAAAACAUGGAUUUGGAUUCAAUCGAGCUGGGCUGGCAACAAGGACUCUGAAUAUCUACAAGCUCCAGGUGAUGCUGGGGCACAGAACACACUCAACGAGGCUUCUACCCACUACCCCAAUUCUUAGCACCAAACACUUUCCCCAGAGGCCUAGCCUGGCCCUCCGUCCUCAAGCAUGUCUGCACCUGAAAUCAUCUUUGUCCCCAGCAUCUUGGCACCAUCGAGACUAAUAAUGAGAAGCAACUCCAGGCACUUGCGUGGGAUCCAGGGGGGCCUGAGGCCCCCAAUUCCUUGGGAAGCUUGAACAAUGACAUCUUUCUGGGGUGAUGGGAAGACAAAAGUGACUCCAUCUUGGAUGCUAAUUUUCCCAUGUUGACUUCUGAUUAGCCCCAGUCCCAUGAAUGCCUCCUGACUCCUACUUUAUUUACUGUCCCGAGUGUAAGAAUAUGUACUCCUGCUUUUAGAUCAAAGCAAGCUUGAUGUUAUCAUGCAAAUUCUGGGCUAUGAUGCACAUGGCGUUCUUGCCUGCUCUGGCACACUACCUUUCACUGUCUUGCUGGAGCAUGUAUAUCCUUUUCCCUUGGUAUAUAAGCCUUGGGUCCGAGAGUAACAGUGCAGAGAUCUGCCUGUCUUGUGGCCACCCGAGACCACCCGCCUGCUUAAAAGUUCCCUCAAUAAAUCACUCAAUACCAACAAACUGGAUUUGUCUGCUUCCUUCUUUGGUCUCUUGGCUCCUUUGGCAUUUGGGGGUUGCUUUGUGCAUGUGGGCUUUUCACAAAAUAGAUGGGUCCCGGAGCCUGGGCUUCGCUGGCAGGUGGUCACCUGGAGCAGCCAGCAGCAGAUGGCACCACAGGACAAGCACAAGCUGUGUCCAAGAGAGUGGCUCAAGAAAUCUGCCCAAAAUCCAACACAAAAAUGAACAAAGGAACUGAAUGGGAGAUGUGACCAAAAGAAGCGAUAAGACAAACAGCUCCAGGAGGGGAGCUGCUGGCUCAAAGAGCACUUGUCUUGGGCGUCAGUUCCACCGGUUCUUGGUCAGGGGUGAGAGCCCUAUGCCAGACCCCCUUUGCAGAACCUAUGCUGGCUUAUGAUGAGGCUCUUCCAGGGCUCCAGCACAUGAAUACCCUGCCCUGGGAGGCUAUAGUAGGCCAGCCACUGUCCACUCUGCUGGAGGGUCAGUCUGAGCCAACAGAACCAUGCGGAGACAUCCCAUCCAAUGCAGCCCAGGAGCAGUCUUGACAUUUCUUUCCCUGCAAGGACAGGCUGUCUGGUCCACACAUAGAUGAAGCCUUGGGCCUGGUUCAGCAUCCAGAGGACUAGGCCAUAACCCCCAAGGUAAGAUAUUCACACUCAUUGGAGCCCUUUCUCCUUUUUCCCUGGAUGGCUGGAGGAAGGGGACCCCUGCUUUUUUCAGCCAGUGCCCCAUGAAGUUAGACUCCCAGGACUCCCUGCCCCUGAUCCUACUUAAGGCCACUGGGAUGCCCAAUACCCUGAGGAAGCUUUGAAAGAUACGUGGCACAUUAUCUGGGGCAAGUCAGCUCAGUGGUCAGAGCACAGAGUGAAGGAGGCUGCAGCCAUAGCCUUGAGUUCUGGAGGCCUCUGUAGUGGGUCAACAGUGGGGAGAGCCACAGAGUCUCGGUCCAGCUACUGUAUCAAAUGAGGUCCUGGGAGGCAAGGAAGGGCAGGCAGGAGACUAUGGCUGCAGGAGCCUGAGCCCUGGCCCCCUUCCCAUGCUGGACUCCUGUCCAGCACCAAACAUUCAGCAGUGAGUGGCACCUUUACCAUCAACCCACCAUGGAAAACUUCCCUGGAGCUCUCUCCUUGUGCCAGGGCCUGUCCAUGGCAUGUAAGACACAAGCCCCAUGAUGGUAUGGAUUUCACCUGCAAGGCGCUUGCCAUCUCAUCGAGGAGAGGAACUUGCAGGCUGAUUUCCAUGUAAGGUGGAAGACACAGUGAUAGAGAAAAGGGAUGGAGUAGGAAGUGAGUCCUGGAAUUCCUGCUGCAGAGGGCUGUAAGCCAAGACUACUGCAUCUAUUGUCUUCAGCUGGAUGCGCUAAUGAUCUAACAGUAAUCCCACUGCUUUGCAUCCACAGAAUUC
Molecule: long non-coding RNA, 11516 nt
Filed under: Homo sapiens (human)
Lineage: Eukaryota; Metazoa; Chordata; Mammalia; Primates; Hominidae
Description: HSALNT0357715
Source: RNAcentral